AUACUUACCUGGCAGGGGAGAUACCAUGAUCACGGAGGGGGUUUUCCCAGGGUGAGGCUUAUCCACUGCACUGUGGGUGUGCUGAUCUCUGCGAUUUCCCCAAAUGCGGGGAAACUCAACUGCAUAAUCUGCGGUAGUGGGGGACUGUGUAUGCACUCUCCCCUG
This 165-nucleotide small nuclear RNA is filed under the name Gopherus agassizii (Agassiz's desert tortoise). RNAcentral describes it as "U1 spliceosomal RNA (ENSGAGG00000003185.1)". It matches the Rfam family "U1 spliceosomal RNA". Rfam says of the family: U1 is a small nuclear RNA (snRNA) component of the spliceosome (involved in pre-mRNA splicing). Its 5' end forms complementary base pairs with the 5' splice junction, thus defining the 5' donor site of an intron. The record is from Rfam by way of RNAcentral. Lineage: Eukaryota; Metazoa; Chordata; Testudines; Testudinidae.